UACGUAGGGUGCAAGCGUUAAUCGGAAUUACUGGGCGUAAAGCGUGCGCAGGCGGUUUUGUAAGUCUGUCGUGAAAUCCCCGGGCUCAACCUGGGAAUUGCGAUGGAGACUGCAAGGCUAGAAUCUGGCAGAGGGGGGUAGAAUUCCACGUGUAGCAGUGAAAUGCGUAGAUAUCAGGAGGAACACCAAUAGCGAAGGCAGCUCGCUGGGACGGUACUGACGCUGAGGCGCGAAAGCGUGGGGAGCGAACAGG
Molecule: ribosomal RNA, 253 nt
Filed under: uncultured bacterium
Lineage: Bacteria
Description: partial 16S ribosomal RNA
Rfam family: Bacterial small subunit ribosomal RNA
Source: RNAcentral